UGCGAAGAUAAAUUUCAAAAAUUUAAUAGAUUAGAUCUUAAUCUUGUAUAUGUAAUGAUUCCUGAGCAUGAGAUAUGAUCUCUAUAUAUGCUAGAUUAUAUUGGAUCUAAUUGGAUUUAAAAAAAUUUAGAUCUAAAAUCUUUCUUUCUGCUAUGUAAAAAUUUUUAAAUUUUUUCAUACAUACAUGUCGCCAUGUGAUGG
This 201-nucleotide long non-coding RNA is filed under the name Elaeis guineensis (African oil palm). Its description in RNAcentral is "long non-coding RNA (EGUI_LNC046876)". The record is from RNAcentral. Lineage: Eukaryota; Viridiplantae; Streptophyta; Magnoliopsida; Arecales; Arecaceae.